CGCUGGCGGCAUGCUUUACACAUGCAAGUCGAACGGCAGCACGGGUGCUUGCACCUGGUGGCGAGUGCGGACGGGUGAGUAAUACAUCGGAACGUGUCCAGAAGGAGGGGGAUAACGCAUCGAAAGAUGUGCUAAUACCGCAUAUGCUCUGAGGAGGAAAGGUGGGGGAGUCGAAAGACCUUACGCUUUUGGAGCGGCCGAUGUCUGAUUAGCUAGUUGGUGGGGUAAAGGCUCACCAAGGCGACGAUCUGUAGCGGGUCUGAGAGGAUGAUCCGCCACACUGGAACUGAGACACGGUCCAGACUCCUACGGGAGGCAGCAGUGGGGAAUUUUGGACAAUGGGCGCAAGCCUGAUCCAGCCAUGCCGCGUGAGUGAAGAAGGCCUUCGGGUUGUAAAGCUCUUUCGGCCGGGAAGAAAUCGCACGGGUUAAUACCCUGUGUGGAUGACGGUACCGGAAUAAGAAGCACCGGCUAACUACGUG
RNAcentral lists this ribosomal RNA (482 nucleotides) under uncultured bacterium. RNAcentral describes it as "bacterial SSU rRNA". It matches the Rfam family "Bacterial small subunit ribosomal RNA", at positions 34 to 507 of the family's 1533-position model. The record is from RNAcentral.